UACGUAGGGUGCGAGCGUUGUCCGGAAUUACUGGGCGUAAAGAGCUCGUAGGUGGUUUGUCGCGUUGUUCGUGAAAACCGGGGGCUUAACCCUCGGCGUGCGGGCGAUACGGGCAGACUUGAGUACUGCAGGGGAGACUGGAAUUCCUGGUGUAGCGGUGGAAUGCGCAGAUAUCAGGAAGAACACCGGUGGCGAAGGCGGGUCUCUGGGCAGUAACUGACGCUGAGGAGCGAAAGCGUGGGGAGCGAACAGG
RNAcentral lists this ribosomal RNA (253 nucleotides) under uncultured bacterium. RNAcentral's name for it is "partial 16S ribosomal RNA". It matches the Rfam family "Bacterial small subunit ribosomal RNA", at positions 524 to 776 of the family's 1533-position model. The record is from RNAcentral.